AGGAAGACUUGCCCUGAGCUAACAUCUGUUGCCAAUCUUUUCUUUUUUUUUUUUUUGCUUUAGAGGAAGAUUAGCCCUGAGCUAACAUCUGAGCCAAUCUUCCUCUAUUUUGUAUGUGGGUUUCCACCACAGCAUGGCUGAUGAGUGGGUUAGGUCCACACCCGGGAUCUGAACCCAAGAAUCCAGGCCACCAAAGCAGAGCACACUGAACUUAACCACAGUGCCACAGGUUCGGCCCUUGUAAAAGUUUAAAUUUAAACAAUAGAAUCACAAGAAUAUUAGAGUAGAUCUGAGUGCUACAAUUUAUUUUAACUUCAUUUUUGAAAAGCACAUAAUGGAAAUAUAGAAAUAAUAGACUUUCCAAUAGACUAACCCUUUUGAAUUAGUAAGACCAAUAAAAUGUUUAAGUUUCACCAUUUUCACUCACAUUUUCCUGACACGGGUUCAUUUUUUUAAAACUAUUGGAAGAGAGGUAUGCCAUACUUGGUUUGGAACAGAAAGAACAGAGUCCUGGAGUCAUCAGUGCAUGACUCGGAGGGAGAGGCCAGGCUGUGGCGCUCAAUCUGAAGUUGCAGAAAAGCAAGAUAGACUUUUGUAAUGAAGCCUUAUGCUUAAGGAAAAACUCUUUGAGAUCAGUUGUGUGGAAGAGAAACUCUAUAGGUUGAGCCCAUUUAUUCCAGGGAUACAGAAUUUACUCACCUAGACCUGUGCCAAAAUAGGACCUCUGUUCCUUGUCCUGUCUCAUGGCAGUUCUGGUUCUUCCAAAGAAUUUAGGCCUCUCACUCUCACAGGUGAGGAUGCUUCAGUUGUGGUGUCUGAAUUAGAGAUGUGUCUCUGAUCUUUAAUUUCCCUUGCUUGGAAAAAAUAAAAAUUCCUCGAGACGUUAUCUAAGAUCACUCAUUAAACUUAAUCUUCUCAGAGGAUCCAGUUGCCCCUUCUCCCCCUGACCACCUGGAAUGAGGACAGAUCUGGAACCAAAAGAAUCUAACAUGUAUAAAAUCAGACUGAUGGUUUGACAAGCAUGUCAGUUGUCACGAACCUCGGCUCUCCCAUUGUGCAGCUGAUUGGAUUAGUGGACACUUUCACUCACGUCAGUAGAAGACACUUCGCGGCUCUGCCUGUAUAGUAGACAUAGCACCUUCGGAGAGCAGUUAAUUUGGAACAGUGAAGGAACAGGGGAUAGGAAGGUGCUACAAGAAAAAAACCUGUUCACUAGAGGAUCUCACUUUUCCUGUUCUCCCGUAAUAUGGACAAGGUGUUUCUGAGCUUGGGCUCUCCACCUGCGCAGAAUGGAGUUCCUGUAGUGUGGCUCAAGGGCGAGGAAAGAAGAACUAAGCUUCAGAGAGACCACAGCUAUUGUCCUUCUGCCCUGGAAUUCUUUCUGCAACAGUCUCAAGAGUUUCUCUGGGCAUCUGCAGUUGAAACGCAUCCACUGUAAACAAAAUAUCUCAAAAUGGUAGAAUACAUUGGCACGAAAAGAGAAAAAACUUCUUCCUAGGAGAAAUGAUAUGCUAAAACCCUUGGAAGCAUUUAUGUCAUUUAAGAGGGACCAGUGGGUCUAGAGCCUAAGCAAAGAUAUAGUAAGAUUAACAGAAAUUGUCAGCUGGAAACAAGAACUAGAAUAAAAGAUAAAAUUUAAUUCAAAGAAUUUGUACAUCAGCCCUUAGUUAAAGUGCCUUCAGAUGCAUUAGUCCUAAGCUGUCAAAAAUUCAUUGAGCAGCAGACUGGUGAGCUAAUAAAAAUGCGCCUAUUUGCAGGCUGUGAAAGAAGGUAACUCUUCCCUUUUCAUAUCUUAACUGUGGCCUUUCUAUCGUCUACUUAUAUAUGUAAAUCAUUUGACUCUAUUACUAGAGACAUAAUCACCUGAAUUCUCGGACUCCACUGCCCAGAAUUUAUUCCUUUUUAUGAUUUUCUUCUUUAGAUUAUAUAAUAUUCUGCUUAUAUCCUAAU
RNAcentral lists this long non-coding RNA (1950 nucleotides) under Equus caballus (horse). Its description in RNAcentral is "lncRNA (ENSECAG00000043877.1)". The record is from RNAcentral. Lineage: Eukaryota; Metazoa; Chordata; Mammalia; Perissodactyla; Equidae.